This 710-nucleotide long non-coding RNA is filed under the name Trifolium pratense (red clover). Its description in RNAcentral is "long non-coding RNA (TPRA_LNC009499)". The record is from RNAcentral. Lineage: Eukaryota; Viridiplantae; Streptophyta; Magnoliopsida; Fabales; Fabaceae.
UGAUCUGUAUCUGUUCGACAAAAACCAUGGAAAACGAAUGUGUGCUUCGAAACUCAACUUUUAUUUAUUUCCCUUGCUUUUAUGCAAUGACGCCGACCAAGUCCUCCACCCAUCUCAGCCAUAAAAACUAGUGCGUGAAUUCUAUUUAUGAGGGAGUGACUGACUUCUAUCGUCAUUAGAGUUUCAAAUGAUUUUCAAGUACAUCGCAAACUUCCUAUCAAAGUGUUCGACCGUAGAAUUUGUCUACUAUAACUAUGUUAAACAUUUGUGAUUCAAAAUUAAACACAUUCAAUGAAAACGAAAACAUUAUCAACAAAAGUGUAUUAAACUAUGCAAUAUGUAUGCUUAUACAAUAAUGUGGCCAAGCUAAGUAAAAGGUAUUAUUAUUACCUGCAGUAUCUCCACAACCCAAGGGCCUUAUGGGAGAAAAAUGGUGAAGGCCAAUUUUUUCGCCUCUUGCAGUUAUCUGAAAAUGUGAAACAAAUUGAUUAUAACAAAAAACACAAGAGCUAAUAAAUUGCAUAGAUAGUGAAAGCCCUAGCUAGUGAUUGAUUUAUAGUACUCUAUUAUACAGCACUGUAAGGGGGUGUUUAAAGAAUGCGGGCUUGAUGUUUGAUGAAAUGCCACAGAGGAAGGAACAAGUGUUGACAUGACCGUCCGUGGAAAAUGAGGCUAUGGAGAAUUUCCGGUAAUUCCAUUUUCACUACAAC